This is an RNA transcript of Puntigrus tetrazona (Sumatra barb), 2657 nucleotides long. RefSeq lists it as uncharacterized. NCBI's taxonomy places the organism in Eukaryota, Metazoa, Chordata, Actinopteri, Cypriniformes, Cyprinidae. The record is from RefSeq and is a predicted model, not a curated record. The transcript has 12 exons.
UCAAGAUCAUAAUUUUAUGAUGUGUUUUGUCGAUAACAAUUAUAAUAUAAAAUCAAUUUGAUCUAAAAUCUGAAACCUACACGGGCUAACGGUCGUUCCAGCUUUCUGUUUCUAGUUACGUUAACAUGUGGUGAUUUAAUAAAAAUGUGUUUAGCUUCUUUGUAUUCAGUUUCUUCUUUUAUUCAGUUUAAAUACACAAAUUGCUGAAGCGGGUCAAGAGGCCCGUUAUCGUACGGACUACAAUACGGUUGACGUCACGGGUUUUCGAGAAGCACGCUCGCGCAGUUAUCUAUUUUAUAACGUUUGCCUUAUAUCUUAUCGGUUGCUGCUCUUAACGUUGACCUAACAGCAUCGCAACCUGAAAACGUACCGUUUUUUACGCUGUCAGUAUUUAGUUAUCUGUAACGAGAGUCGGAGGGUGAAUAAAAACCGUCUAAACCGACCGAAGGCGACAUGAACUGGGUCGGAGGAUCUAGGUUCGUGCUAACCUGCUAACGUUAACAGCUAACUUCAUUGAAACCUGACAAUAACUGACUUUACGUCGUCACCUGGUUGUAAAAUUAACAAUUCAAGGAGGUCAAAGCAAAAAUGUCAAAAUGACUCCAUACAAAUUUACUCAAGUUUAUGUAUAAUGUCUUAACUAAACAGGAGCAGGUAUAUGAAAAGCAAAGAAGACGCAACAAAACAGAGAGUACGUACUUUUAACUCUCCAGACCAACUGUUUAAAACCACAUUCUUUUUAGUAACUACAUAUCCUUACUAUAUUUCAACCAUGACUGUAUCGUAAAUGCAAAUAUUAACUACAGUUAAAUGAAUUUAGUUACAGGUGGUUAGGUUUAGUUUUUUUGUGUGUGUUAUUUUGUCUUAAACCUGUUUUUGUGAUCAUCUGUUUCAAUCUCGAGGCGUUUUUUCAAAAGCAAAGGAUGAAAAGAAAGUCAGAUAUCGUGGGCUCGCCCAAAGGAUACAACCCUGAAAAUAUGGAUCUGCUGACAUUAUUCAUAGUCAACCAGAUUGCAUCAAAGAAGGAGAUAACGGAAAAACCAAAAACGACUGCUGUGAAAAGAACCAAAAGAGCUUCGAAAGAGCCUUCGGAGUUACCAAUGAGCCCUUGUUCUCCUUCAAACCUGGACCUAGUUACCAGUCGACCACAUAUCGAUACGCCCGGUUAUAAAGUCAGAAGACGUCGUCUCACCGAGGAAUUCAAGUUCACGCCGUUGUCUCCUUUGCUUGAAUCAAACCUGUCCGAUGCCAGCGGCUCAGAAAAUCAACCACAUCCACUUUCAACAUCUUCCGGCUCCUCAGAUCCAAUCCAAACCAAACCUGCACCGCGCACAUCCUCUUCUCUGGAAAAACCCAACGAUAUGAAGAAAACUCCUCACUUUGUGCCAUUCUCUCAACCAACGAAGAUGGCUGAUCCGUGGCCGGACGAAACUCUCGCGCAAGACGUGCCGCGCGAUUUCUCAGCGGCUGGGAAUCGGUUCGAGAGCGCGUUACCGAAACCGGAGAGGGGAGGGCCUUCGGGUGCCUCGGUUUUAUAUCCGCUCAACCCUUUUGGGAGCACGGAAGAACCGGAGGAGCCGCUGUUCAUAGAUUUUAAGAUUUUAGAUUAUAAAGUGAUCGACUCUUGCGAUAGAUCGGAAAACGCGGACAUUAAUGGAAAUCUCUCAACACGGGAACCUGUACGCACCGACAGCAGCGCAUGUGCUGACCUCUUCGCGCGCGUCGACAAAUCUCCAAGGGGAGUUCACCGCAGCUCAGAUGACACAGAAGCACAGAGGCGUGACGGGACUCCCCCGGUAACCCUGGAAACAGGGACGCAAACAAGAGCUUUUUCUUACCGAGACGUCUCAGUUCAGUGCUCGCUUAUCCAUCACAGAAACUCCGAGCCCGUGCCGGGCGCCCAUCGGAAAACCGGCGCCUUUUCCACAAGAUGGCAGCAUUCUAAUUUCAAUCAGUUUCUUAAUCCAGCUACGCACACCUCUCGAAAAACAGGGCACAAAAGAACAGGAAACGUGGCCCCCGGGGAAUCGGCAAAAAAACAGCGGCCGCAGAGACAUGCAGGAUCACAAACGGGCUUCUCCUUCCGCAAACUUCAUAGUCAGAAGAGCUUGAAAAGAGAUCUGACGUCAGCUUCGAGACGUCCUUUCUGCAGAGCCUCAGAACAGAAAAAAGAUGGAAAGCAGGAGGAAAAUAAACGCGUGACUACCCUCAGUUAGGAAAUGCGGCGCGAAAACCCUGUCAAGGACGUCAGGCGUGCAGGAAGAUUUGCGAACGAGACGAAGAACUUCACAGCAGAGAAAGUACAGCAAUUCUGGCAGUGGGUCAGUGACCCCUGUUGAUUUCUUCAGAUAAUCUCAGCUGCGGUUCUACAGCCGAUCUAACACCAUCUUCUGCUAUUAACGUCGGUAUUAAUCAAUGCAAGAUGAAGACACCAAAUCUUUCCACUGCAAUUAAGCAAAGGGUCCCAAAAAAGACUUUUGGCUCUGCCUAGUUGGUUUACCUACUAUAAAAACAUCGAUCAUUUUAACAAGAACAUUCCAUCACCACCCGCUAAAUUAGCAUCUGUCUAUUUUCUCAACCAAAAUAGAAACACAUUUGACUUUUGUAAGCUUACGUAAGCUGGAUUGUUGAUGCCGACAGUUAAAAGAUUCUCAGUG